UAAUGUAAGCUCAGCUCCCUCCUUCCUCUUCAUCUAUAACUUAGCUCAAAUUAGUCAUCCCAAAAUUUAAAAGAAUAUGAAACAUCCACUCUCUUAUCUAAAAUGUUACUACACUUUAUAACCACUAACAUACUAACAUAAAGAGGUUCAUUAAGGGACUAAAGCACAAUAAUCAAGAAUGAAUGUAACACUAUUCAAUUAUAACUCAUACUUAUUG
RNAcentral lists this long non-coding RNA (217 nucleotides) under Capsicum annuum. RNAcentral's name for it is "long non-coding RNA (CANN_LNC017897)". Lineage: Eukaryota; Viridiplantae; Streptophyta; Magnoliopsida; Solanales; Solanaceae. The record is from RNAcentral.